GCGAGAAAACUUUGCAAUGUGCGAAAGCACGACAAGGUUAAUCCGAGUGAUUUCUGCUAAAGAAAUCUUUUGCAAGUCAUAAAACCACUAGUGAAUAAGGGGUGGGCAAGUUCUGGUGUCAGCCGCCGCGGUAAAACCAGCACCUCAAGUGGUCAGGAGGAUUAUUGGGCCUAAAGCAUCCGUAGCCGGCUCUGUAAGUUUUCGGUUAAAUCCAUGUGCUCAACGCAUGGGCUGCCGAAAAUACUGCAUAGCUAGGGAGUGGGAGAGGUAGACGGUACUCGGUAGGAAGGGGUAAAAUCCUUUGAUCUAUCGAUGACCACCUGUGGCGAAGGCGGUCUACCAGAACACGUUCGACGGUGAGGGAUGAAAGCUGGGGGAGCAAACCGG
RNAcentral lists this ribosomal RNA (387 nucleotides) under uncultured bacterium. RNAcentral's name for it is "bacterial SSU rRNA". It matches the Rfam family "Archaeal small subunit ribosomal RNA", at positions 339 to 727 of the family's 1478-position model. The record is from RNAcentral.